This 233-nucleotide ribosomal RNA is filed under the name Salmonella enterica subsp. enterica serovar Carrau. RNAcentral's name for it is "partial 23S ribosomal RNA". It matches the Rfam family "Bacterial large subunit ribosomal RNA", at positions 2710 to 2925 of the family's 2925-position model. Lineage: Bacteria; Pseudomonadati; Pseudomonadota; Gammaproteobacteria; Enterobacterales; Enterobacteriaceae. The record is from RNAcentral.
UGGUGUUCGGGUUGUCAUGCCAAUGGCACUGCCCGGUAGCUAAAUGCGGAAGAGAUAAGUGCUGAAAGCAUCUAAGCACGAAACUUGCCCCGAGAUGAGUUCUCCCUGAGACUUUAGGUCUCCUGAAGGAACGUUGAAGACGACGACGUUGAUAGGCCGGGUGUGUAAGCGCAGCGAUGCGUUGAGCUAACCGGUACUAAUGAACCGUGAGGCUUAACCUUACAACGCCGAAG